GAUGAACGCUGGCGGUAUGCUUUACACAUGCAAGUCGUACGAGAGUUUUUAACUCAAGUGGCGGACGGGUGAGUAACACGUAAGAAUUUGCCUUUAGGAGGGGGAUAACAACUGGAAACGGUUGCUAAUACCCCAUAUGCUUUCGAGUGAAAUAGAUUUUUCUGCCUAAAGAGAAGCUUGCGGCUGAUUAGCUUGUUGGUAGGGUAAUGGCCUACCAAGGCGACGAUCAGUAUCUGGUUUGAGAGGACGAUCAGACACACUGGAACUGAGACACGGUCCAGACUCCUACGGGAGGCAGCAGUGGGGAAUUUUCCGCAAUGGGCGAAAGCCUGACGGAGCAAUACCGCGUGAGGGAUGACGGCCUAUGGGUUGUAAACCUCUUUUUUCAGGGAGGAAUAAAAUGACUUGUACCUGAAGAAUAAGCAUCGGCUAACUCCGUGCCAGCAGCCGCGGUAAGACGGAGGAUGCAAGUGUUAUCCGGAAUCACUGGGCGUAAAGCGUCUGUAGGUGGUCAAAUAAGUCAACUGUUAAAUCUUGAGGCUCAACCUCAAAAUCGCAGUCGAAACUAUUAG
RNAcentral lists this ribosomal RNA (572 nucleotides) under uncultured bacterium. RNAcentral describes it as "bacterial SSU rRNA". It matches the Rfam family "Bacterial small subunit ribosomal RNA", at positions 28 to 639 of the family's 1533-position model. The record is from RNAcentral.